This 82-nucleotide small RNA is filed under the name Kutzneria sp. 744. RNAcentral's name for it is "Actinobacteria sRNA Ms_AS-4". It matches the Rfam family "Actinobacteria sRNA Ms_AS-4". Lineage: Bacteria; Bacillati; Actinomycetota; Actinomycetes; Pseudonocardiales; Pseudonocardiaceae. The record is from Rfam by way of RNAcentral.
CUUCGCGCUGGCGUAGCGGUGCGGGUCGUCUCCGAACUCGGCGAGCACCCGAGCGCCGAGCACCGCUGCCAACCCAGGCUGG